RNAcentral lists this ribosomal RNA (253 nucleotides) under uncultured bacterium. RNAcentral describes it as "partial 16S ribosomal RNA". It matches the Rfam family "Bacterial small subunit ribosomal RNA", at positions 524 to 776 of the family's 1533-position model. The record is from RNAcentral.
UACGGGGGGGGCAAGCGUUGUUCGGAAUUACUGGGCGUAAAGGGCUCGUAGGCGGCCAACUAAGUCGGACGUGAAAUCCCCAGGCUCAACCUGGGAACUGCGUCCGAUACUGGAUGGCUUGAAUCCGGGAGAGGGAUGCAGAAUUCCAGGUGUAGCGGUGAAAUGCGUAGAUAUCUGGAGGAAUACCGGUGGCGAAGGCGGCAUCCUGGACCGGCAUUGACGCUGAGAAGCGAAAGCCAGGGGAGCAAACGGG